UGGCAACGAAAGGAAUUUAUGUCCAAUAACCUCGUAAAUUUAAAUGUCAAACAACGCUAGGAAUUCAAAGGUAACUAAAAUAGGAUUUGCUAUAACAAUAUUAUGUAAGUCUAAUUUAAUAAUUGAAAGCUCCGAGAUGCUCCACCCCGUCACCACAUCCCGUCACGUCAUGUCUACUUCCACCCUACCACAUCAUAAAUCAAAAUAUGGAUGAGUCACAAUAUCGUGACUCAGUAUGGUUUCCCGUAUAGGUCAGUCAAAUCACAUCAUAAAAUAAUCAAAUUCACAAACAUCAAGUAGAUCGAUAUACUUUUUCACUAUAUUAUAACACUCACACUUCACAUAUAAUUUUACAAUCCUAUGACACUCACAAUGCACUCGGAAUUAGAUUCAUGCCAACACUCACAUCACUCACUCAUUAACACUUCACUUAUAUGUUCACAAAGCACUCGAUGACUCACCGUUUAAAAGUAGUAUCGAAAUAUGAAAGAAGACAUCUUUUGAAAAUCUUGAAAUGCUAGUCUAUUUGAAAGCUAUCUAGAACCGUAAAAAUUCAAAAUCAAAAUCUAAGAUCUCCUAAAAUCUGGAAUGAAGUAAACCUGGACUGAAUCUGCAUAGAACCCUGAAAAAUUCCAAAAUUUAACUAUACGAUUAUCAUAAAACACUAGAGAAAAUAAGCACAAAGAAGAACUAAACAGAACCCACGGCUAUUGAGAAUUUAAAUCUAUGAUCUUCUGAAAAUACUAAAAGAGAUAAACACGAAUAGAAUCUUAAUAGAAUCCACCUUAACCCAAAAUAGAAAUCUAAAAUUGAACAUAAAAUCUGCUGAAAAUACAGCAGGAGAUAACCAUGCCCAGAAUCUGCAUAAAACCCAAAAGAACUCCAGAAUUUAAACUAAGAUCUAUUGGUAUUCCUAGAUUUGAAUAUAAAAUCUGCUGAAAAUCUAGCAGUAGUUAAACAUGAAAAUAAGAACUCUUCAUCAAACCCAAAAGGAAUCCAGAAUUUAAACCAAUAUCUAUUGGUAUCCCUAGAUUUGAAUAUAAAAUCUGCUGAAAAUAGAGCAGUAGAUAAACACUAAGAGACAUCGCAUAAAACCCAACAUAAAUCCAGAUUGAAACCAAACCCUGAAACAAGAGUAACUAACACAAAACCCAAUGUCUGGAAAUCUAGAAAACGAGGGUCUGAAAUCUGAAAAUCAUAAAAACAAAACCAAUGAAAUGAUUUAAAUAAAAUCAACUAUUUAGUUUCAGCUCAAUAAUAUAACCCACUCAAUACCCUAAUAAACUCAGCCUCAUAAAUCUAUGAUGCAUCUACAUCACUAUCACGUUCUAAGAAAUAACUAUUAACCAGAAAAUUAGAUUCAUAUGUUAGAACUUCCCAUCUUACAAAUCUGAUCAAAUCCCAUCUCACAAAUCCACUCAUUAAAUAAAUACAACCCCAAAAGCACCAACACAACAUCACAAAAAUAUCCUAUAAACAAUAUGAGAUCAUCACUGAAUAACCAAGAUAAAGGAAUCACGUGGGUAUAUCCAAUCUGCACUAUCGUGCAUUGGUUCAACAACCCAAUAACAUACACAGCAGAUGUAUUUAGGUGACUAUUUACCCAGAAAUCAGAUUCACAUUCAUAUACUCAGAACAAAAUCAGAUUCUAUAAAUCUCAUACCUCAUUUUGUUUUUGAAACCUCUCCCAACACAAUCCACACCAAGCUUUCCAACCACCUCGACACCUCCUCGCUCGCUUCCCCGAUAAUCUCUCGCCGGAGUUUCGUCUCCGUCCCCACCCUAGCCGAGCUAGAGCAAUCACCGUUUUUCUUUCACUCACGUUUCUCCCAACCUUACCUCUUUCCAUUCUUGG
RNAcentral lists this long non-coding RNA (1855 nucleotides) under Zostera marina. RNAcentral describes it as "long non-coding RNA (ZMAR_LNC000591)". The record is from RNAcentral. Lineage: Eukaryota; Viridiplantae; Streptophyta; Magnoliopsida; Alismatales; Zosteraceae.